Molecule: ribosomal RNA, 217 nt
Filed under: uncultured bacterium
Lineage: Bacteria
Description: partial 16S ribosomal RNA
Rfam family: Bacterial small subunit ribosomal RNA
Source: RNAcentral
GAUCAUGGCUCAGGACGAACGCUGGCGGCACGCUUAACACAUGCAAGUCGAACGAGAGAAGAGAAGCUUGCUUUUCUGAUCUAGUGGCGGACGGGUGAGUAACACGUGAGCAAUCUGCCUUUCAGAGGAGGAUACCGAUUGGAAACGAUCGUUAAUACCGCAUAAUAUAAUUGAACCGACAUGUAUUUGUAUUAUACAAAGUAUUUAUCGCUAGAAA